AUGAGACUCUUGCUUCCCUUUAAAAGAGGCAGACCCCUACUUCAAUUGUCAUCUGACGCCUCUACCCCAGCUGUGGACUCAGACCUCUCACAACCAAAAAAAAGAAAAUCAAAAUCAAACGAAUCCGAAUAUAACCAAUCUAUCACCUUUGAUGACUCGUUGACAGCCUCCUCAACCCAAGCAUCCAUCUCCUGCUCCAGACAUCGGCGCUUGCCCGCACUAGUCCAUGAAAGGUGGAUGAAGGUGAGUUUGACUACGAACUCGAGGAUGCUGGGAACGAUCUCUUUUCGGGGAAUCACUCCCGUCGAGAGGCCCUCUUCCUUCAUUUUUCUGAAUCUGGUAGAGAGGCAAAAGAGAAGUCCAGAGAGACCUCGACUCUUUCAGGGAAAGAAGGGAGAUCGAAUGCGAGAUGGAGUCCCUGCCGAAUGGAAUGGACAUCCUUGGGGACAGCUGUGUAAGACUUAA
Molecule: ribosomal RNA, 465 nt
Filed under: Triticum aestivum (bread wheat)
Lineage: Eukaryota; Viridiplantae; Streptophyta; Magnoliopsida; Poales; Poaceae
Description: partial small subunit ribosomal RNA
Source: RNAcentral